AAAUCAUUCCUCAGUGCAGCGCUCGCCAACCGGUGGUCUGGGGACCAUUGGUGGUCCGUGAGGUCCGAAAGGUUGGCUACCGUUGCCUCAAUGCAGUAGCAUCCUUAACCAUGUCCUUGCUAGUUCAUGUUUCUCAUCUGCUCACAAUCCUUCAGUGCUUUCCUCUCUCAUCCAGAAUAAAAGGCUACAUCUGCACCAGGUCCCUAACUGUCUGCAGUCUGGUCCCUGUAAUCUGCCUCAUGGCACACCAGCCAACAGUCUCCUUCCUGUUCUCCAAACACUUGCCAGAACAUCUGUGCCUCUGCAUCUUUGUCUUGCUGUUCCCUCUGUCUAAAACCCUCUUCUCCUAAAUAUCCUUAUGGCUGGCUCCUUUACCUCUUUUUGGUUUUUACUCAGAUGAUACUUCUCAAUGAGUCAUCACUAUCCAUGCAGCUUAACAUUGCCCUCCCACCUUUCUCCUUUCCUGCUUACUUCCUCUCCACGGUACUUUUCUCCAGCGAACAGAAUAUAAAUGUAUCUUACUUAGUGUUUUGUUUACUGUUACCUUUUCACUAGGAUGUAAGCUUCAUAAGGGCAAAGAUUUUCAAUUGUUUUUUUCUAGCUGCUAGCACAGUGCUUAGAAAACAAUAAGCAUUCAAAAUUUGUUGUUAAGUGCAGGAAUGAGAUGAGAUAGUCCAAACUGAAGUGAUUUCAGUGUGAGUGGAAAGAAAGCAAUAAAUGCAAGAGACAUGACAGAGAAGGACUCUUAGAGACUUGUUAAAUCUGCGUAUUCAUGGGGAGGGGUCAAGAAUUAUAGGUUAUUUCCUCACUUAACAGGAAGGCUGAAUUGAACUCUUUCUCUGUUCAGAGGCAGUGUUUGUCAUGGGGGCUGCAGAAACUUGGUUCUGGCUAGGGGCCAGUGAGUAAUGUUGUAGGGAAAAAUCACACCAGGUUCAUUUCAGGAUCUAACCUUAGGUGACUUGGACAAAGUGCGAUUGAUUGACAUUUUUCUGUCAAUGGGUUGAUGGAGCCAAGAAGUGAAGAAAGAAGAUGAAAGAGUUUCAGAACUAUUGCCAGAGAGUUAGACGGGCUCUUAAAAAUGAGAAAACCUUGCUUACCAGGAUGUUGGCCAACUCUGAUUCUUAUCUGUGGGGUUCCCUGAGCCUUCAAAACCAGUUGAAGCCAUUAUAUAUUGUCACCAUUUGACAGUUCUAUCAAUUGGGUAGUUUGUUUCCCCUCCCAGAUCCUUAUGCAAGGUCCAUAUUUACUUUCGUUUUUGUAUUUCUGCUUUUCAUACUAUUGCUCCCUAGAAAUAAAGACCAUCUUUUAGUCUUUUUGAUUGUGUCAUGACUCUCAAAAUAUAUAUUCUUUAUAACAGAGUUAAUUGAUUCCAAGGAAUUAUUUCUUAAGGUGAUAAUGAUUGUGAAAACAUAAUAUUCUGGUCUGAAACUUGUUGCAACAGAUAUGCACCAACCCUGUAAGAACAAUGUUAAUUUUCUCCAUCUAUUGAGUACUUACCAGAAAUUCAUGUGGAAUGUAGAGUAAGUGCAUUCAUAUGCAGCACUGAUUCAUGAUAAAUGUUGUAUGCUAGAAGAAGAAGGAAUCUUAAUUUCUGUUCAUUUCUAUCUUAAUAUCUUGAGCUCUUAUUAUAUCCAAAAAGUGAAGAACUAGCCUUGGAUUUACAACAUUAAAACUGAUCAACCUGCUCUCCAGGUUUUUACAACGUUGGAUACAGAAGAAUGAAUACAGAACAUGAUAAAUGUGAAUAGUAUCAGAAAAGGAAAAUGCUGUGGAGGUCUGAGGAAGGGGGACACUGGUUCCAGCAGGCAGGACAGGGAAGGUUGCAGAAAUGUGUGGCAUUUCAGGGCACAAUUGAACAGAAUGAGAGGAGGGAUGGGGACAGGAUUUAGGCUUUGGGAACAGAGAUGCAAAA
Molecule: long non-coding RNA, 1912 nt
Organism: Pipistrellus kuhlii (Kuhl's pipistrelle)
Lineage: Eukaryota; Metazoa; Chordata; Mammalia; Chiroptera; Vespertilionidae
Exons: 2
Source: RefSeq, a predicted model, not a curated record